RNAcentral lists this ribosomal RNA (253 nucleotides) under uncultured bacterium. RNAcentral describes it as "partial 16S ribosomal RNA". It matches the Rfam family "Bacterial small subunit ribosomal RNA", at positions 524 to 776 of the family's 1533-position model. The record is from RNAcentral.
UACGGAGGGGGCUAGCGUUGUCCGAAGUUACUGGGCGUAAAGCGCGCGUAGGCGGGUUGGUAAGUCCGCUGUGAAAGCCCGGAGCUUAACUCCGGAGGGUCGGUGGAUACUGCCAGUCUUGAAGGUGCUAGGGGGAGAUGGAAUUACCGGUGUAGCGGUGAAAUGCGUAGAUAUCGGUAGGAACACCAAUAGCGAAGGCAGCUCGCUGGGACGUUACUGACACUGAGGCGCGAAAGCGUGGGGAGCGAACAGG